UAGCUAACCUUCCCUAACGUCUGCAAUAACCUCGGGAAACUGAGGCUAACGGUAGAUAGAAGAUUUUUUCUGGAAUGAUUAAUCUUCGAAAGUUCACGUUAGGAUGGGGCUGCGGCUGAUUAGGUAGUUGGCGGGGUAAAUGCCCACCAAGCCAGUGAUCAGUAAGGGCCUUUAGCGAGGAAGCCCUGAGAGGGAAUCUUAGACACUAUUCCCAGCCCUACGGGGUGCAGCAGGUAGGAAAAUUCUGCAAUACACGCAAGUGUGACAGAGCAAGCCAGAGUGAUUUUCAUAUAAUUUGAAAAUCUUUUGCGGGAUGCAAAAAGUCCCGAGAAUAAGGACCGGGCAAGACUGGUGCCAGCCGCCGCGGUAAUCCCAGCGGUCCAAGUCGCAGCCACAAUUAUUGGGUCUAAAACAUCCGUAGCUUGCUUUGCAAGUUUCUUGUGAAAUCGGGAAUCUUAAGUUUCCGGCGAGCAAGAAAUACUGCUUAGCUUGAGACCGGGAGAUGCAAGGAGUACGUUAGGAGUAGCGGUAAAAUGCGUUGAUCCUUAACGGACUAACAACAGCGAAGGCACCUUGCAAGAACGGAUCUGACAGUGAGGGAUGAAGGCUAGGGGCGCAAAGUGGAUUAGAUACCCAUGUAGUCCUAGCAGUAAACACUGCACACUAAACAUUGGGGCCUCUUCGGGAGGUUCCAGUGCUGUAAAGAAGUCGGAGAGUGUGCUACCUGGGAAGUAUAGUCGCAAGACUGAAACUUAAAGGAAUUGGCGGGGGAGCACAA
Molecule: ribosomal RNA, 778 nt
Filed under: uncultured euryarchaeote
Lineage: Archaea; Methanobacteriati; Methanobacteriota
Description: bacterial SSU rRNA
Rfam family: Archaeal small subunit ribosomal RNA
Source: RNAcentral